UGAACUUGGGAUCCUCGCAUCUGUACUUUCCAUCAGGGCCAAUACCAAAACCUUUAGGGUCGGCAAACACGUUUUCCAACAAUUGGCUCCGUGGAGGGUGCGGGCUUGCGUCGGCAAACUCAACAGCCUCCUCAACAACAUUGUCAAUGUUCUUCUCAAUGCUCUUCAGCUCAGGUUCAGUUGCGAGGUUCUGCUCAAUGAUGUACUUCUUCAAGGCCGUAAUCGGAUCCCUUGCAGCAUAGUGGGUUUUCUCAUCUGUGCACAGAGAAUGUGAUGGAGUCAGUUUAACAAUUGCUCAAACCAGACUGCUGUUAAAGACAGAAGAAACCCACGAAAGCUUAACAUUGAAGAGCCAGUAACUCAAGAAUGGUUCUGUAACACAUGUGAUGGAGAAAUGAAGACAACACAUGCAUAUAUAUACAUUUGUAAUGAUGUGACCGAUGACAGUCACGAAACAAGGUGCAAGUGCUCUGAACAUCAGUUGGCAUACAUUCAUGAAUCAUGAUACAAGGUCAUGGUCAAAUCGUUACAUAAAAUAAUCCAGACCCAGUUCAG
This 555-nucleotide long non-coding RNA is filed under the name Setaria italica (foxtail millet). RNAcentral describes it as "long non-coding RNA (SITA_LNC006378)". The record is from RNAcentral. Lineage: Eukaryota; Viridiplantae; Streptophyta; Magnoliopsida; Poales; Poaceae.